Molecule: non-coding RNA, 88 nt
Filed under: human gut metagenome
Description: yjdF RNA
Rfam family: azaaromatic riboswitch aptamer (yjdF RNA)
Source: RNAcentral
GCAAAGAUAAAAACACGGUUCGGUCGGUAGUCCGGACGCGGCCGCAGGGCCGUCAGUAACCUGCCUCCUUGGUUGUCCGUUCUUUGCA